This is a long non-coding RNA of Homo sapiens (human), 1081 nucleotides long. Ensembl annotates it as MIR124-1 host gene. Its record names the gene MIR124-1HG. The record is from Ensembl. NCBI's taxonomy places the organism in Eukaryota, Metazoa, Chordata, Mammalia, Primates, Hominidae.
GCUCAGGUCGCCGCAGCGGCCCGGCAGCCGCCGCAGUGAUGUCAACCGCAUCCGCCGCAGUCCCCGGCAGCCCUAAAACGCGCCGCGGCCCGCGGAAACCCCAGCCCGGCUCCUCCCGCCAGGGCCGAGGAGGAGAGGACGCGCGGGUCCCCGGAGUCCCCCACUCCGUCUGCCUAAGCCGUGGAGACCGGGAGUGGACGCACGGCGGUGCCUGGACCCCCGGGGAGGUGGAAGAAGAGGAGAGGGAAGGGAGCUGUGGAGUCAGAUGCGGCUUCCUUUACCUGAAUAAUCCUUUAAAGGAGUAAUAAUUUUUAAAAAGGAGCUCGACCUCAGCCAAAGAGGACGGCGCACGAGAUUAGGGCUUGUAGAUCCACUGCCUUUGGUUGGGCCGGCUGAAUCGCUGGGGACUGCGGCCAGUCUCUUAAAAAAGGAGAACAAAAAGCCGAAGACCUUGUGUGGCCGCCGGGACAAAGCACCUUGGGUUCGGCGAGAAGGGACGCGCAGGAGCGCUGAACCCAGAACACGCGUGGCCGCUGCGGAAGGGCGUCCGCCCGGCGUGCGGAACGCUGAGGGGACUCUCAUCCUCUGUCUCGCCCCCUUUUUUUGACCCGGGGAUCCAGCCGCAUUAUACACGAGUGACCUUUUAAAUCUACGUCCACCCUUUACCUGCGAGAGGACUGCAGCAGGCGAGUUCCGGAAGGCUGAAUCCCCAGGUCCCAGCCCCGGACCGCGGCAACUCGCCCCUGCGGCACGCCCGGCCCGGCUGCGCCCCCACUCAGCGAUGGAGGAAAAAGCCUGGAUGCGAAAGGAUGGGGGAGAACAAAGAGCCUUUGGAAGACGUCGCUGUUAUCUCAUUGUCUGUGUGAUUGGGGGAGCUGCGGCGGGGAGGAUGCUGUGGUCCCUUCCUCCGGCGUUCCCCACCCCCAUCCCUCUCCCCGCUGUCAGUGCGCACGCACACGCGCCGCUUUUUAUUUCUUUUUCCUGGUUUUCUUAUUCCAUCUUCUACCCACCCCUCUUCCUUUCUUUCACCUUUCCUUCCUUCCUUCCUCCUUUCCUUCCUCAGGAGAAAGGCCUCUCUCUC